UGGUGCCUACGGGACGCAGCAGUGAGGAAUAUUGGUCAAUGGCCGGAAGGCUGAACCAGCCACGUCGCGUGAGGGAAUAAGGCCCUAUGGGUCGUAAACCUCUUUUGUCAGGGAGCAAAGGCGUCCACGAGUGGACGAAAGGAGAGUACCUGAAGAAAAAGCAUCGGCUAACUCCGUGCCAGCAGCCGCGGUAAUACGGAGGAUGCGAGCGUUAUCCGGAUUUAUUGGGUUUAAAGGGUGCGUAGGCGGAGUGUCAAGUCAGCGGUAAAAUUUCGGGGCUCAACCCCGUCGUGCCGUUGAAACUG
This 305-nucleotide ribosomal RNA is filed under the name uncultured bacterium. RNAcentral's name for it is "bacterial SSU rRNA". It matches the Rfam family "Bacterial small subunit ribosomal RNA", at positions 333 to 635 of the family's 1533-position model. The record is from RNAcentral.